CCUACGGGUGGCAGCAGUGGGGCAUCUUGGGCAAUGGAGGCAACUCUGACCCAGCAACGCCGCGUGAAUGAUGAAGGUCUUCGGAUUGUAAAGUUCUUUUCUAAGGGAAGAAGAAAGUGACGGUACCUUAGGAAUAAGCCUCGGCUCAAUACGUGCCAGCAGCCGCGGUAAUACGUAGGAGGCAAGCUUUAUCCGGAGGUACGGGGCGUAAAGGCUGCGUAGGUGGUUUGACAAGUUAGUAGCGCAACUCCGAGGCUGAACUUCUGAACUACUUCUAAAACUGUUGGAAUUGAGGGCAGGAGAGGCGAGUGGAACUCCGAGUGUAGCGGUGGAAUGCAGAGAUAU
This 345-nucleotide ribosomal RNA is filed under the name uncultured bacterium. RNAcentral describes it as "partial 16S ribosomal RNA". It matches the Rfam family "Bacterial small subunit ribosomal RNA", at positions 338 to 697 of the family's 1533-position model. The record is from RNAcentral.